CUCGCGUGUCGUGUCAGCCGCCGCGGUAAUACAGAGGGUGCAAGCGUUAAUCGGAAUUACUGGGCGUAAAGCGAGCGUAGGUGGCUUGAUAAGUCAGAUGUGAAAUCCCCGGGCUUAACCUGGGAACUGCAUCUGAUACUGUUGAGCUAGAGUAGGUGAGAGGAAGGUAGAAUUCCAGGUGUAGCGGUGAAUGCGUAGAGAUCUGGAGGAAUACCGAUGGCGAAGGCAGCCUUCUGGCAUCAUACUGACACUGAGGCUCGAAGCGUGGGUAGACAAACNGGAUUAGAUACCCUGGUAGUCCACGCCGUAAACGAUGUCUACUAGUCGUUGGGUCCCUUGA
RNAcentral lists this ribosomal RNA (340 nucleotides) under uncultured bacterium. RNAcentral's name for it is "bacterial SSU rRNA". It matches the Rfam family "Bacterial small subunit ribosomal RNA", at positions 493 to 835 of the family's 1533-position model. The record is from RNAcentral.